RNAcentral lists this ribosomal RNA (1405 nucleotides) under Streptococcus sp. 2010_Ileo_MS_IXc. RNAcentral describes it as "bacterial SSU rRNA". It matches the Rfam family "Bacterial small subunit ribosomal RNA". Lineage: Bacteria; Bacillati; Bacillota; Bacilli; Lactobacillales; Streptococcaceae. The record is from RNAcentral.
GUAGACGCUGAAGAGAGGAGCUUGCUCUUCUUGGAUGAGUUGCGAACGGGUGAGUAACGCGUAGGUAACCUGCCUUGUAGCGGGGGAUAACUAUUGGAAACGAUAGCUAAUACCGCAUAACAAUGGAUGACACAUGUCAUUUAUUUGAAAGGGGCAAUUGCUCCACUACAAGAUGGACCUGCGUUGUAUUAGCUAGUAGGUGAGGUAACGGCUCACCUAGGCGACGAUACAUAGCCGACCUGAGAGGGUGAUCGGCCACACUGGGACUGAGACACGGCCCAGACUCCUACGGGAGGCAGCAGUAGGGAAUCUUCGGCAAUGGGGGCAACCCUGACCGAGCAACGCCGCGUGAGUGAAGAAGGUUUUCGGAUCGUAAAGCUCUGUUGUAAGUCAAGAACGAGUGUGAGAGUGGAAAGUUCACACUGUGACGGUAGCUUACCAGAAAGGGACGGCUAACUACGUGCCAGCAGCCGCGGUAAUACGUAGGUCCCGAGCGUUGUCCGGAUUUAUUGGGCGUAAAGCGAGCGCAGGCGGUUUGAUAAGUCUGAAGUUAAAGGCUGUGGCUCAACCAUAGUUCGCUUUGGAAACUGUCAAACUUGAGUGCAGAAGGGGAGAGUGGAAUUCCAUGUGUAGCGGUGAAAUGCGUAGAUAUAUGGAGGAACACCGGUGGCGAAAGCGGCUCUCUGGUCUGUAACUGACGCUGAGGCUCGAAAGCGUGGGGAGCGAACAGGAUUAGAUACCCUGGUAGUCCACGCCGUAAACGAUGAGUGCUAGGUGUUGGAUCCUUUCCGGGAUUCAGUGCCGCAGCUAACGCAUUAAGCACUCCGCCUGGGGAGUACGACCGCAAGGUUGAAACUCAAAGGAAUUGACGGGGGCCCGCACAAGCGGUGGAGCAUGUGGUUUAAUUCGAAGCAACGCGAAGAACCUUACCAGGUCUUGACAUCCCGAUGCUAUUUCUAGAGAUAGAAAGUUACUUCGGUACAUCGGUGACAGGUGGUGCAUGGUUGUCGUCAGCUCGUGUCGUGAGAUGUUGGGUUAAGUCCCGCAACGAGCGCAACCCCUAUUGUUAGUUGCCAUCAUUCAGUUGGGCACUCUAGCGAGACUGCCGGUAAUAAACCGGAGGAAGGUGGGGAUGACGUCAAAUCAUCAUGCCCCUUAUGACCUGGGCUACACACGUGCUACAAUGGUUGGUACAACGAGUUGCGAGUCGGUGACGGCAAGCUAAUCUCUUAAAGCCAAUCUCAGUUCGGAUUGUAGGCUGCAACUCGCCUACAUGAAGUCGGAAUCGCUAGUAAUCGCGGAUCAGCACGCCGCGGUGAAUACGUUCCCGGGCCUUGUACACACCGCCCGUCACACCACGAGAGUUUGUAACACCCGAAGUCGGUGAGGUAACCUUUUGGAGCCA